CGCGGGAUAACGUGUUGUGGCCAGGAUUGUGAAAUAGGAACAGGAAGCGAGUCGACGAGCGCGCAGCAGCGCGUUGUGUUGAGUCAGUGGGACACAAGCACCUUACGGUUGCACAACGGGGGCCGUCCAGCAGGUGAUCUAUGCAUUAAUGACCAUAAACACUCUGGGAACCAGAUGGUGUGGACAAGAAUGGGAUGCCUUUGCUGAGUAUGUUGUGGUUUACUUCCUGUAAAUCAGCCACGUCUCCCCCGUCCAGCAGGUGGCGCUAUUCUGCAGGGCCACAGUCUAGUUUCAAACACAGGAGCAAAUCACUGAGCACAAAAACGGAAACUGUCCCUGAGACCAAGAGGCCAGAGAGAGCUGCAGUCACAGAAGAUGGACUUUGUAUUUUAUAAGUACAUAUAGUGUAAACAAGGAGUGCUGGCUUUUAUGUGACUGGGAAACUCACAUUAAAGUGUUGUUUGUUUUGGUUUUGAUAAACAUCCCAAAUUUUUAGGUGGCAUUUACAUUGAGUUGCUAGUACUUGAUCUCUGUAGUAAUGCAGUUGUGCAGAGGUAUCAACAACACUGAAUGAAGACCAAAUUGUUGCUGCUGAAGUGUAUACUUCACAAAAUCUGCCUUGAUCUGUCUGAUUAUUUGUUCAUUUCUGGUUUUAUCCACUGUGUCCCACUGCUAUUACCAUGGAUUAUUUCCACUCCUUCAUCCUCUUAUGAAUCCCAAAUUGAAGCAGAGUUUCUGUGGACUAUGAAAUCAGAUCUGCCGGCGCUGUUUACUAAUGGAAGAACAGUGUUUCCCCUCAGAGCACAAGUGCAAUGAGAACUUUGAAAGUGGAGCGUGAGGAGAGAAAAGUGAGGGAGCAGAAUCUGGGUGACCUCAACCUCACCACAAAAUAAAAUGGUUUUUGACGCGGCCGACGCUGAACCCAGAUCUGCAACGCACAACAUUAGCUGUGAGAUGCUGUGUCUGAUCCGUGGUUCGCUCUCUUGAGGUUUGUUUAGGUUCGUAGGUUUGUUGUUGUUGUUUUGAAGAAACCAAAACCCCUGAGACGGACCCGCUGCCGGCAGAAACAGCCAUUCACCAGCACCAGAGCUGUUAAACGCAGUCCUUCAUUUCUUAUUGUUCAUUAGAGGGACGAUUUUUCAAUUUAGCGACCAGGAAAUCAAUAGACUAUAGACAAAGCAACUGACCAACGUAAACACUCCCCAUAGCCAGUACCAUGCAUCCUGGGCCAGUCAGACCCAGAAAUAUACCAGUUCAUCUGCACUUUGUCGCUCUGAGGGUUCGGAGAGGGGAAAUGUGGGGGGUCACAGAGGCUGUGGGCAGAAUCAAUAUUGUGAUUGCUCACCUGCGAUAUCAGCCCCGGGCAGAAAAAAUGACUCAGCCUUGUCUGUCAUAUAACAUUACCCCAUUACCUCAGACCCUGAACUGAUUUUGACAGAGAUACAGUAACUUGUUGUCAUGGAAAUCCAGGCCUCGUCGAGGUAAUGGGCUGAAAACAGCUUGGAUUAUCCAUUACUGUAACUUAGGGGAACAGAGUUGUUUAUCGUCUGUAUCUGUGUUGUUCACUUCCAGCAGUUGCACUCAAGGGCACGCGUUGAAUUAAGCGGAAACAUCACUGUGAUUUCAUGUUUUUAUGUAUGACCGGAUGCUUUUAUCGAUAGCAGGCUGUAAGUAAAUCCAGGUGUCCGACUCUCCUCUGGGUUUAAUGGUUCCUAUAGGCACACAGCGGUUUUCAUUCAUCCUUAGCCUUAAUUCAGAUUUUAUAUGGCUUUUGAUAAAGAGCAACAAAUCACAUAAAGACUUUUAUACAAGAAAAAAUGAUUUAAUUUGAAGCAGAAAUAAAUGUUGAACAUCUGCACCA
This is a long non-coding RNA of Betta splendens (Siamese fighting fish), 1861 nucleotides long. RefSeq lists it as uncharacterized. The record is from RefSeq and is a predicted model, not a curated record. NCBI's taxonomy places the organism in Eukaryota, Metazoa, Chordata, Actinopteri, Anabantiformes, Osphronemidae. The transcript has 3 exons.